Molecule: ribosomal RNA, 263 nt
Filed under: uncultured bacterium
Lineage: Bacteria
Description: partial 16S ribosomal RNA
Rfam family: Bacterial small subunit ribosomal RNA
Source: RNAcentral
CAUGAGUGGCGGACGGGUGAGUAACGCGUGGGCAACCUGGCCUGUACAGGGGGAUAACACUUAGAAAUAGGUGCUAAUACCGCACAACGGGGGAAGCCGCAUGGCUUUUCCCUGAAAACUCCGGUGGUACAGGAUGGGCCCGCGUCUGAUUAGCCAGUUGGCAGGGUAACGGCCUACCAAAGCGACGAUCAGUAGCCGGCCUGAGAGGGCGGACGGCCACACUGGGACUGAGACACGGCCCAGACUCCUACGGGAGGCAGCAG